AUACGAGGGGUGCAAACGUUAUUCGGAAUCACUGGGCGUAAAGGGUGCGUAGACGGCAAAACAAGUCAAUUAUUAAAUCUCCUGGCUUAACCGGGAGUCUGUAGUUGAAACUGUUUAGCUAGAGGAUGGAAGAGAGAAGUGGAAUUCUCGGAGUAGCGGUAAAAUGCGUAGAUCUCGAGAGGAACACCGAUGGCGAAGGCAGCUUCUUGGUCCAUUUCUGACGUUGAGGCACGAAAGCGUGGGGAGCAAACAGGAUUAGAAACCCGGGUAGUCC
RNAcentral lists this ribosomal RNA (274 nucleotides) under uncultured bacterium. RNAcentral describes it as "partial 16S ribosomal RNA". It matches the Rfam family "Bacterial small subunit ribosomal RNA", at positions 523 to 796 of the family's 1533-position model. The record is from RNAcentral.